This 439-nucleotide long non-coding RNA is filed under the name Mus pahari (shrew mouse). RNAcentral describes it as "lncRNA (MGP_PahariEiJ_G0002445.1)". Lineage: Eukaryota; Metazoa; Chordata; Mammalia; Rodentia; Muridae. The record is from RNAcentral.
ACAUGAACUGAGAACAGCUAGAGAUGACCCACUUUUCCUGCAAGGCAGAGUCACAGCUGAAGGGAGCAGAUAGGGACGAGGGGAUCCCCAGGCACGGUCUGCCAGCCAGGGAAAGUUCUGAUAGUGGAUUCCUUCCCAGGCUUUCUUUGCUUAGGACAAAGAAAGGUGUGAAGAUCGCAUGGGAUCCAGUCUGCCUUGACUUGGAAAACUGGAAUUCCAUCCGAGCUUGAGUCCAGAAUGGCAGCAAGGGCAUUCAUCCUGGCAGGUUACCGGAAGAAGAGCAUGAGACAAAAGUGCGAAUCUGUGGCAUGCAAUGGAAAGGUUUUUAUCCAGGUUCAAAGUCUGAUUUGAAACAGUUUGUGUUGCAGUUGUUUAUAGUCGGGAUGUAAGUCUCUCUUCCGAGAAAAAUAAUUUUAAGUGGAAAAAAAAUAAGUUGAGG